This 403-nucleotide ribosomal RNA is filed under the name uncultured bacterium. Its description in RNAcentral is "partial 16S ribosomal RNA". It matches the Rfam family "Bacterial small subunit ribosomal RNA", at positions 28 to 526 of the family's 1533-position model. The record is from RNAcentral.
GACGAACGCUGGCGGCGUGCCUAAUACAUGCAAGUCGAACGCAGUGGGGACGGGUGAGUAACACGUGGGUAACCUCCCAUCAGAGGGGAUAAAACUUGGAAACAGGUGCUAAACCGAUACUGAUGGAUGGACACUCGGUGCAUUCGCUAGUUGGUGAGGUAACGGCUGACCAAGGCCACGAUGCAUAGCCGACCUGAGAGAGUGAUCGGCCACACGGGGACUGAGACACGGACCAGACGCCUACGGGAGGCAGCAGUAGGGAAUCUUCGGCAAUGGACGAAAGUCUGACCGAGCAACGCCGCGUGAGGGAAGAAGGUUUUCGGAUCGUAAAACUCUGUUGUUAGAGAAGCGGUAUCUAACCAGAAAGCCACGGCUAACUACGUGCCAGCAGCCGCGGUAAUUC